Molecule: ribosomal RNA, 119 nt
Filed under: Cephalotus follicularis
Lineage: Eukaryota; Viridiplantae; Streptophyta; Magnoliopsida; Oxalidales; Cephalotaceae
Source: RNAcentral
UGUUGCGAUCUUACCGAUACUGAUGCAUCGGAUCCCAUUAGAACUCCGCAGUUAAGCGUGCUUGGGUGAGAGUAGUAGUAAGAUGGUUGACAUCCUGGGAAGUCCUCAUAUUGCACCCC